GAUGAACGCUGGCGGCGUGCCUAAUACAUGCAAGUCGAGCGAACGGACGAGAAGCUUGCUUUUCUGAUGUUAGCGGCGGACGGGUGAGUAACACGUGGAUAACCUACCUAUAAGACUGGGAUAACUUCGGGAAACCGGAGCUAGUACCGGAUAAUAUUUUGAACCGCAUGGUUCAAAAGUGAAAGACGGUCUUGCUGUCACUUAUAGAUGGAUCCGCGCUGCAUUAGCUAGUUGGUAAGGUAACGGCUUACCAAGGCAACGAUGCAUAGCCGACCUGAGAGGGUGAUCGGCCACACUGGAACUGAGACACGGUCCAGACUCCUACGGGAGGCAGCAGUAGGGAAUCUUCCGCAAUGGGCGAAAGCCUGACGGAGCAACGCCGCGUGAGUGAUGAAGGUCUUCGGAUCGUAAAACUCUGUUAUUAGGGAAGAACAUAUGUGUAAGUAACUGUGCACAUCUUGACGGUACCUAAUCAGAAAGCCACGGCUAACUACGUG
RNAcentral lists this ribosomal RNA (497 nucleotides) under uncultured bacterium. Its description in RNAcentral is "partial 16S ribosomal RNA". It matches the Rfam family "Bacterial small subunit ribosomal RNA", at positions 28 to 507 of the family's 1533-position model. The record is from RNAcentral.